AUUGAACGCUGGCGGCAUGCUUUACACAUGCAAGUCGAACGGCAGCGCGGGCUUCGGCCUGGCGGCGAGUGGCGAACGGGUGAGUAAUGCAUCGGAACGUGCCCAGUAGUGGGGGAUAGCCCGGCGAAAGCCGGAAUAAUACCGCAUACGACCUGAGGGUGAAAGCGGGGGACCGAAAGGCCUCGCGCUAUUGGAGCGGCCGAUGUCGGAUUAGCUAGUUGGUGGGGUAAAGGCUUACCAAGGCGACGAUCCGUAGCUGGUCUGAGAGGACGACCAGCCACACUGGGACUGAGACACGGCCCAGACUCCUACGGGAGGCAGCAGUGGGGAAUUUUGGACAAUGGGGGCAACCCUGAUCCAGCCAUGCCGCGUGCGGGAAGAAGGCCUUCGGGUUGUAAACCGCUUUUGUUCGGGAAGAAAUCCUCUGGGCUAAUACCCCGGGGGGAUGACGGUACCGGAAGAAUAAGCACCGGCUAACUACGUG
RNAcentral lists this ribosomal RNA (484 nucleotides) under uncultured bacterium. RNAcentral describes it as "partial 16S ribosomal RNA". It matches the Rfam family "Bacterial small subunit ribosomal RNA", at positions 29 to 507 of the family's 1533-position model. The record is from RNAcentral.